This is a non-coding RNA of Pogona vitticeps (central bearded dragon), 566 nucleotides long. Lineage: Eukaryota; Metazoa; Chordata; Lepidosauria; Squamata; Agamidae. The record is from RefSeq and is a predicted model, not a curated record.
CCAGCUCUGCUCUGUUUACUGGGGAUGAGUUAUAACUGAAUACAUGUACACAGGGAGUGUGUGCUUGUGUGCGCGUGGCUGAAUGACCACCUCCCCUGUGAUGUACAAUGUAAGAGUCUGGGAACAAUCUGUAUUAUAAUUCAUCAGGCUCAGCCCCUGAGCGGAGUGGUGUGGCUUAAUUAUAAAGGCGACUGUGAAUUCAGCAGCUGACAGGGGGAAUCUUGAAAAGCUGGUGACUGGGACUGUCGGCUUUUGUUCCAGAAAACCCUGCCUUUUCGGAAUACGCUCGAUUUGAGGCCAAAAUCCAUGACCUGCGGGAACAGAUGAUGAACCACAGCAUGAGUUCUGGGUCGGGCUCCCUGCGAACCAAUCAGAAGCGUUCCCUUUAUGUCAGAGCCAUGUUUGACUACGAUAAAAGCAAGGACAGCGGCCUACCAAGCCAAGGGCUUAGCUUCAAGUAUGGUGACAUCCUCCACGUCAUCAAUGCAUCAGAUGAUGAAUGGUGGCAGGCGAGAAGAGUUACGCAAGAGGGGGACAGCGAGGAAAUGGGAGUUAUACCCAGCAAA